MicroRNA precursor from Oreochromis aureus, 63 nucleotides. Lineage: Eukaryota; Metazoa; Chordata; Actinopteri; Cichliformes; Cichlidae. The record is from Ensembl.
UGAAGCAAGUGCACAGACACAUACGUGCAAAAAUCUGUAUGUGUGGCUGUUCCUUCGCUCGCC